Molecule: ribosomal RNA, 484 nt
Filed under: uncultured bacterium
Lineage: Bacteria
Description: partial 16S ribosomal RNA
Rfam family: Bacterial small subunit ribosomal RNA
Source: RNAcentral
AUUGAACGCUGGCGGCAGGCCUAACACAUGCAAGUCGAGCGGAUGAAGGGAGCUUGCUCCUGGAUUCAGCGGCGGACGGGUGAGUAAUGCCUAGGAAUCUGCCUGGUAGUGGGGGAUAACGUCCGGAAACGGGCGCUAAUACCGCAUACGUCCUGAGGGAGCAAGUGGGGGAUCUUCGGACCUCACGCUAUCAGAUGAGCCUAGGUCGGAUUAGCUAGUUGGUGGGGUAAAGGCCUACCAAGGCGACGAUCCGUAACUGGUCUGAGAGGAUGAUCGGUCACACUGGAACUGAGACACGGUCCAGACUCCUACGGGAGGCAGCAGUGGGGAAUAUUGGACAAUGGGCGAAAGCCUGAUCCAGCCAUGCCGCGUGUGUGAAGAAGGUCUUCGGAUUGUAAAGCACUUUAAGUUGGGAGGAAGGGCAGUAAGUUAAUACCUUGCUGUUUUGACGUUACCAACAGAAUAAGCACCGGCUAACUUCGUG